GGCUUCCUGAUGGUGAAUGACUGAAAGUGAAAAGAAAACAGAAGUCAGUUGGAGUAACUUCAAUAUUCAUCUGGAACUGCAGAUUCAACACCACCCACCACACCAAGAAAGCCCUUUCCUCCCAGCACUGAUGAAUUUAUUCAAUGAAACCUUUACAGAGGCUGGAAGUCCAACAGAAAUAGCCCAAGGCAAGCUCUUCACGAUGCACCAUGUUCCCACUUUCUUCGGAGCAGUUUACCUCUGGGUGCCUCACUUUAGUAAUCAGUGUCACAUGCACUAAGGAAGCCCAGUCUCUCCAAAAGAUUCCUUUUACUGCUUACAGUUAAGUAAAGGAAAAAGUUCCAGUAACUUCAGUGCUGGCAAAUGCUGACUUUUCAGUAGUGAUGACAAGACACUGUAAUAUGUGCUACACCCAGCAGUCUUUAGUAGCAAGAUUCAACUUACCUUCUCUUUGGAGAGGGGGAUCUGGACUUUGAUCGGCUGCAAAACAGAAAGAAACACUGAGUGACAACUCAAAGUUACAUUACAUUACAUUACAACAAAACAAGUUCUCCCACACUUAACAACAGUGAGAAACUCUCUGGAACCUUAGUCACCAUUUUAUAUAGGUAUCACUGGCAAAGCGUCCAAAAUCUUUUACGAGGAUUUGUUGGAGCAUCAAAUUAAUCCCCACCAUCCCUACUACAGCUGGAGCUAUAUAUGCCUUUGCAGCAAACCCUUUUAGGUGUUUUAAGAACAAUAUUUAACUGUCACAACAAUUCUGUGAUAUAGGGGUGGAGGAGAAGAACAAGUUUAAGUAAGAGGAAUCAGUACCGUGGUGGAAACUAAACAGUUAAAACAAAAUAUGGGGUAGGGAAAUCACCCUCCACUCCCCAUCUCAGUAAAUAUUCAUGACCUUUGUAGUAAAAAUCCCAACUAUUAAAACUUAGCAAUAACAUCCUUCAAAUACAAGUGAAAUACUGGUCCAAGCAAAGGGCUUUGUGAAUCAUGAUGAAGCAAUACUGACUUCUAAAAGAUCUAGUGCAUUACAUUACAUGCUCACCUUUUAGCAGGUGAGCCAGAUUUAGAUCUACCAUGGGACCCAGACCUACAAUGGGAGAGAAAUAAGGCUCAGCAAGGCACCAGUGGGAUGCACGUACAGUGAAGUUACCUAAACCAGUGAUGAUAAAAUUCAUACUACAUGCCAAGAAAACUGUGGAGGGCUGGUAACUGACAGGCAGAAAUCCAAUGUUGUCCAUGAAAGUAGAUGCAUUUUCUAGAUAGUUUCAUCAACAAAUAAUAUUUUAGUUUUCCAGUAUUCAAGCCUUUCCUCAACUAUUUCCGCAUUUCAUAAGCUUUGAUGUUGUCAGAAUUGUGAUUGCUAUGUUUAGAUAAACCUUGAACUAUUACAGGGGUCAGCAAACUUUCA
This is a long non-coding RNA of Mauremys mutica (yellowpond turtle), 1408 nucleotides long. RefSeq lists it as uncharacterized. The record is from RefSeq and is a predicted model, not a curated record. The transcript has 2 exons. Lineage: Eukaryota; Metazoa; Chordata; Testudines; Geoemydidae.